Molecule: ribosomal RNA, 497 nt
Filed under: uncultured bacterium
Lineage: Bacteria
Description: partial 16S ribosomal RNA
Rfam family: Bacterial small subunit ribosomal RNA
Source: RNAcentral
GAUGAACGCUGGCGGCGUGCCUAAUACAUGCAAGUCGAGCGAACAGAUGAGGAGCUUGCUCCUCUGACGUUAGCGGCGGACGGGUGAGUAACACGUGGAUAACCUACCUAUAAGACUGGGAUAACUUCGGGAAACCGGAGCUAAUACCGGAUAAUAUAUUGAACCGCAUGGUUCAAUAGUGAAAGGCGGUUUUGCUGUCACUUAUAGAUGGAUCCGCGCCGCAUUAGCUAGUUGGUAAGGUAACGGCUUACCAAGGCAACGAUGCGUAGCCGACCUGAGAGGGUGAUCGGCCACACUGGAACUGAGACACGGUCCAGACUCCUACGGGAGGCAGCAGUAGGGAAUCUUCCGCAAUUGGCGAAAGCCUGACGGAGCAACGCCGCGUGAGUGAUGAAGGUCUUCGGAUCGUAAAACUCUGUUAUUAGGGAAGAACAAAUGUGUAAGUAACUAUGCACGUCUUGACGGUACCUAAUCAGAAAGCCACGGCUAACUACGUG